CUUAUAUACAUCUUCAAAUUAUUGAAUACAUUUUCAAAUGGUACACUCUUAAGCAAAGCAUGUUUUUCUUUCUUUU
This 76-nucleotide long non-coding RNA is filed under the name Microtus ochrogaster (prairie vole). Its description in RNAcentral is "Adaptive response 33 conserved region 1 (ENSMOCG00000011707.1)". It matches the Rfam family "Adaptive response 33 conserved region 1". Lineage: Eukaryota; Metazoa; Chordata; Mammalia; Rodentia; Cricetidae. The record is from RNAcentral.